This 207-nucleotide ribosomal RNA is filed under the name uncultured bacterium. RNAcentral describes it as "partial 16S ribosomal RNA". It matches the Rfam family "Bacterial small subunit ribosomal RNA", at positions 568 to 774 of the family's 1533-position model. The record is from RNAcentral.
CUCGUAGGCGGCCUGGUCAGUGGAAAGUGAAAGCCCUCGGCUCAACCGAGGAAUAGCUUCCCAUACUGCCAGGCUAGAGGACAGGAGAGGAGAGUGGAAUACCCGGUGUAGCGGUGAAAUGCGUAGAGAUCGGGUGGAACACCAGUGGCGAAGGCGACUCUCUGGACUGUUUCUGACGCUAAGGAGACGAAAGUGUGGUAGCAAACA